CCGAGUAAAUGGGGUACUGUAUACCCGUGCAACACCAAGUAUUCCAUGAUAGUACUGCAGACUCAAUAACACAUCGAUCGAAAUUGCGAUAUUGCGAAACAGAAAAACGUGGUCGAAUAAGUUGAUGAAAACACAGGAAAAUUGUUAAAGAAUGAUUUUAACCAUCUUCAUACUAUAAAUGGCUGAAUCCACAUCAUCUAGUGUAGUUGAUCCUUCCAUAAACAGUGACAAGACUCCUGUAAUCAAGCCACAAACCAAGGCUGAAACAACAGUACACCGUCCUGGAGAAGCUGCCAUAAAACAACAGUA
Molecule: non-coding RNA, 309 nt
Organism: Paramuricea clavata
Lineage: Eukaryota; Metazoa; Cnidaria; Anthozoa; Malacalcyonacea; Plexauridae
Source: the annotation of a GenBank genome assembly